UAUUGCACAAUGGGCUCAAGCCUGAUGCAGCGACGCCGCGUGAGCUAAGAAGGUUUUCGGAUCGUAAAGCUCUGUCCUCUGGGUAGAAAAAAAUGACGGUACCAGAGGAGGAAGCCCCGGCUAACUACUUGCCAGCAGCCGCGGUAAUACGUAGGGGGCUAGCGUUGUCCGGAUUUAGUGGGCGUAAAGGGUGAGUAGGCGGUAACGUGUGUCAGAUGUUUAAUCUAUGGGCUCAACCCAUACCAGCAUUUGAAACUACGUAACUUGAGUGCAGGAGAGGUAAGUGGAAUUCCUAGUGUAGCGGUGGAAUGCGUAGAUAUUAGGAGGAACACCAGUGGCGAAGGCGACUUACUGGACCGCAACUGACGCUGAGUCACGAAAGCGUGGGGAGCAAACAGG
Molecule: ribosomal RNA, 399 nt
Filed under: uncultured bacterium
Lineage: Bacteria
Description: partial 16S ribosomal RNA
Rfam family: Bacterial small subunit ribosomal RNA
Source: RNAcentral